Molecule: long non-coding RNA, 793 nt
Organism: Mirounga angustirostris (Northern elephant seal)
Lineage: Eukaryota; Metazoa; Chordata; Mammalia; Carnivora; Phocidae
Exons: 3
Source: RefSeq, a predicted model, not a curated record
CACCAGUCCUCUCAGCCAGUCUUGCUUGGAAUAGAGCUUUUGCAACAUGAGGCUGGAGGGGAUGAGAAAUGCUGGCAGCCUGCCUCUCUGGGGGACACUGAGAGCCGAGGGAGGCGGGAGCCCUGUGUUCUUGGCUUCACCUGCCCAGAGUGGAGCUUCCACCACGCCGAGCUGGGACAGGAGAGAGGGCUACUUCCUUUGGGAUCCCUACCUAUAUAAGGAUUAUAUUUGCAACCCCACUGACUUUAGGCUUAGCCUUGUGACUUGCUUCGGCCAACAGAACAAAAAGAAAGCAAAAGCACGGCAGAUUGUGUUUGCCAAAGAUGGACACAGUAACUCCUGUCGACGUGUUCUUUUGGAAACUUGCCACUCUCCCACGCCUUGGCCCUGGGCAACUAUAUGACUGCCUCUGUCAAUACAUUAUGGCAGGAGCGAUGCUCUGUGCCUCCUGAGACCAGAUCAUGAAAAUGCCAUGUACUUGUGCUUUGCUUUCCUGGACACUUUCUCUUGGAUCCCAACGACCAGCCCAAACUAGCCCAUAUGGAGAGACCAUGUGUAGGUGUUCUCUGGCUGACAGCCCAGCUGAGGUUCCCACCAACAGCCAACAUCAAAUGGCCGGACAUGUGAGUGAAGACACCUCCAGAUGACUCCAGCCCCCAACCAUUGAGACACCCUCCAGCCUUCCAGUCUUCCCAGCGGAGGCCCCAGACAUCAGGGAGCCAAGCCACCUCUGCUAGGCCCCGUCUUAACUGCUGACAUGCAGAAUGCACAAUAAAAUGGUUGUUUCAUGCCA